RNAcentral lists this long non-coding RNA (202 nucleotides) under Elaeis guineensis (African oil palm). RNAcentral describes it as "long non-coding RNA (EGUI_LNC073829)". The record is from RNAcentral. Lineage: Eukaryota; Viridiplantae; Streptophyta; Magnoliopsida; Arecales; Arecaceae.
AUUGCAUAUUAUUGACAUAUUUGGGUUCAAUUUUUGAGUUCAAUAGCGGUAUAGAAAUUCUUGAUUCAAAAUUUUAAAUAUAUAUUUAUUUAUAUUAUAUUACAACUAUGUCAUCCUAAAAUAAAAAAAAAUAUAUAAAUGUGCAUUAAAAUAUAUCUAAACUUUUAAAGUACCAAGCACAAAAAAUUAUAUACUAACCUCA